This is a long non-coding RNA of Choloepus didactylus (southern two-toed sloth), 354 nucleotides long. RefSeq lists it as uncharacterized. The record is from RefSeq and is a predicted model, not a curated record. The transcript is spliced from 4 exons. Lineage: Eukaryota; Metazoa; Chordata; Mammalia; Pilosa; Megalonychidae.
GGAAAUUUUGGCAAUUUAAUUAUCCAUUUUACUGAAGAUAUGUACUUCGGUAGUUUCCAAUUUGGAUCUCUUAUGUUCCCGAGCAUGUUUUUUGGUUCUUGCUCAUGGGAAUUCUUUGAGGCUUAACAGUGUUGCUUCUGCCUUUCUUAUAUUUCCUUAUCUGAUGAAAUGAGCUUUGUUAUUUCUUUUUCCUGGUGAACAAAUUUUAUUGUAAUCACUCUUUUUCCUAUGAUGUGGUACUUCACUUCUCCCAGAACAAGAGGCCUGAUGAAGACGAAGCCAUGGGGAGGAGCUGGAGGCCGGAAGUCAGCUAAAACCCAGAAUAAAAAGGAAACUACAUCACCAUAUGUUGGG